RNAcentral lists this non-coding RNA (903 nucleotides) under Pan troglodytes (chimpanzee). The record is from RNAcentral. Lineage: Eukaryota; Metazoa; Chordata; Mammalia; Primates; Hominidae.
AUAGGCAGCCGCUGCCGCGGGGAGAAGCAGUAUCGUGCAGGGCGGGCACGCUGGUCUUGCUUACAGUUGGGCUUCGGUGGGUUUGAAGCACACAUUAGGGGGAAAUGGCUCUGUUCGUGCAGGUUUGCGCAGUCUGGGUUUCUUAGGUUUAGCGGGUUGGGUGGGUUUCUCUGGGGGUGCGGUGGGAAGCGGAUCAGCUGGGAUAACGGCCCUGAGCAAGAGUCUCUGUCCCGCUCCCGGCCUGACGCGGGGCUUCCAGCGGACACCACCGACGAUUUUAUAGGUUCAGAAAGUGUGUCUCAGAGGAGUUAGAGAAGACCGAUUAAUAGAUGACAGUGCUAAAGCCUGGAUCUCCUGAAUCCUGGAUGAAAGUGUCCUAAGUUAGAUUCCUGGGAAGAAAAUUCUGAGACACAUUCUGCAGGAUGAUUAUUAGGGCUCAUCCUUGGUUUCAACACCCAUAGAAAGAAGGGGGAAGAAGAAAUCGAACAGAGAGACAGAAGUCGAGAUGCAUUUCAGGCCAGGACUCUUGGCUGAACGCACAGGAGCUCUGGAGCUAGAAUGGCCCUUCAGAGUUGUCCUGAGUUGGUCUGAGAUGGCCAGUUCUUUAUAUUCCUGCAUGGGAUAGUCACUGGAUGUCCACCCCAGGAAGGGGUGUGGCCGAGACAGUCCCUGAAAUGCCCGCCAGCACUCCCUACACCUGGAGCGACAAGACCAACAUCACAGGGGGAAUGCACUGGGUGAUGGAUCACAGCGUUCAUCCCAGAAGAUGAGGAUUCAGAAUUGGCUGACAGCUACGUUCUAAAUGUCAGUGUUCUCCAAAAUUCAUAUGUUGAAACUUAAUUCCCAAUGUGAUGGCAUUAGGAAGUGGGGCCUUUGGGGGAGGGACUAUAGGUCAUGAGGGUG